AGAUAAUAGAUACCCGGGUAGUCCACGCCCUAAACCAUGUCAACUGGGUGUUCGGGAAGCGAUUUCUGAGUACCGUAGCUAAACGCGUGAAGUUGACCGCCUGGGGAGUACGGCCGCAAGGUUAAAACUCAAAGGAAUUGACGGGGACCCGCACAAGCGGUGGAUGAUGUGGAUUAAUUCGAUGCAACGCGAACAACCUUACCUACCCUUGACAUGUCCGAGAGCCUGCUGAGAGGCGGGUGUGCCCGAAAGGGAAUCGGAACACAGGUGCUGCAUGGCUGUCGUCAGCUCGUGUCGUGAGAUGUUGGGUUAAGUCCCGCAACGAGCGCAACCCUUGUCCCUAGUUGCUACGCAAGGGCACUCUAGGGAGACUGCCGGUGAC
Molecule: ribosomal RNA, 382 nt
Filed under: uncultured bacterium
Lineage: Bacteria
Description: bacterial SSU rRNA
Rfam family: Bacterial small subunit ribosomal RNA
Source: RNAcentral